AAUACGUAGGUGGCGAGCGUUGUCCGGAUUUACUGGGCGUAAAGGGCGCGUAGGCGGCCACCGCAAGUCGACUGUGAAAUCUCCGGGCUUAACCCGGAAAGGUCAGCCGAUACUGCGGGGCUAGAGUGCAGAAGGGGCAACUGGAAUUCUCGGUGUAGCGGUGAAAUGCGUAGAUAUCGAGAGGAACACCUGCGGCGAAGGCGGGUUGCUGGGCUGACACUGACGCUGAGGCGCGAAAGCUAGGGGAGCGAACGG
This 255-nucleotide ribosomal RNA is filed under the name uncultured prokaryote. Its description in RNAcentral is "partial 16S ribosomal RNA". It matches the Rfam family "Bacterial small subunit ribosomal RNA", at positions 522 to 775 of the family's 1533-position model. The record is from RNAcentral.